UUCCAGACUCCUACGGGAGGCAGCAGUGAGGAAUAUUGGUCAAUGGGCGAGAGCCUGAACCAGCCAAGUCGCGUGAGGGAUGACUGCCCUAUGGGUUGUAAACCUCUUUUGUAUGGGGGGAAUAAGCUUUACGAGUAGAGUGAUGACAGUACCAUACGAAUAAGCAUCGGCUAACUCCGUGCCAGCAGCCGCGGUAAUACGGAAGGUCCGGGCGUUAUCCGGAUUUAUUGGGUUUAAAGGGAGCGUAGGCCGGCUUUUAAGUCAGCUGUGAAAGUCCGCGGCUCAACCGUGUAAUUGCAGUUGAAACUGGAGGCCUUGAGUGCACACAGGGAUGCCGGAAUUCAUGGUGUAGCGGUGAAAUGCUUAGAUAUCAUGAAGAACUCCGAUCGCGAAGGCAA
RNAcentral lists this ribosomal RNA (398 nucleotides) under uncultured bacterium. RNAcentral's name for it is "bacterial SSU rRNA". It matches the Rfam family "Bacterial small subunit ribosomal RNA", at positions 329 to 724 of the family's 1533-position model. The record is from RNAcentral.